CUUGGUUCAGGAUGAACGCUGGCGGCAUGCCUAAUACAUGCAAGUCGAACGAAGAAAUGUUGCUUGAAGGUGCUUGCACCGGAUAGUUGCUUUCUUAGUGGCGAACGGGUGAGUAACACGUAGGUAACCUGCCUAGUAGUUGGGAAUAACAAUGGGAAACCGUUGCUAAUACCGAAUAUGAAUUCGAAGGGCAUCCUUUGAAUUUGAAAGGGGCUUUCAAGCCUCGCUAUUAGAUGGACCUGCGGCGCAUUAGCUAGUUGGUGAGAUAACAGCUCACCAAGGCGAGGAUGCGUAGCCGACCUGAGAGGGUGAUCGGCCACAAUGGGACUGAGACACGGCCCAUACUCCUACGGGAGGCAGCAGUAGGGAGUUUUCGGCAAUGGGGGGAACCCCGACCGAGCAAUGCCGCGUGAAGUUAUGAAGGUCUUAUGGAUCGUAAGGCUCUGUUGUAGGGGAUGAAACGUCUAGGGAGGAAAUGUCCUAGACUUGACAGUACCUUACCAGAAAGCCACGGCUAACUACGUGCCAGCCGCCGC
Molecule: ribosomal RNA, 536 nt
Filed under: uncultured bacterium
Lineage: Bacteria
Description: bacterial SSU rRNA
Rfam family: Bacterial small subunit ribosomal RNA
Source: RNAcentral